CCAUGAAAUAUAAUUUAGAUUCUAAAAACUAAAUCUUAUAUUUUUUAACAUCAUAUGCCGAAUUGAGCUAGACUACUUUAGAAGUAUCAUCUCUUUUUUACUUCUAAGUUUCUAGCCUUUGGAUCUAUUUUUGAUUACUAAUAGCCUUUGGAUCAAAUACUAUUUUACCUACCACCACCUACUACCAUCAUUCCAACCUUACUUUUCUCCAUCAAAGAGUUAAAAACUCAAAAACACUAACCUCUUGUCGCUUUUGAGAGUAUUCUAGCCCAACUCUCAUAUACCUUACGAUCAAUGGGCAUCAAAAUUGAUAUUUUUAACGAUCGGUAUGAAACGUUUUUCAAGUUAACGGUCUAAAAGAAUCGAAAUUAUUUAAUUUUUAAUAAAUAAUUUUAUUCACUGUGUAGAU
RNAcentral lists this long non-coding RNA (409 nucleotides) under Ananas comosus (pineapple). RNAcentral's name for it is "long non-coding RNA (ACOM_LNC006240)". Lineage: Eukaryota; Viridiplantae; Streptophyta; Magnoliopsida; Poales; Bromeliaceae. The record is from RNAcentral.